AGUGAGCGCUGGCGGUAGGCCUAACACAUGCAAGUCGAACGGCAGCACAGUAAGAGCUUGCUCUUACGGGUGGCGAGUGGCGGACGGGUGAGGAAUACAUCGGAAUCUACUUUUUCGUGGGGGAUAACGUAGGGAAACUUACGCUAAUACCGCAUACGACCUACGGGUGAAAGCAGGGGAUCUUCGGACCUUGCGCGAUUGAAUGAGCCGAUGUCGGAUUAGCUAGUUGGCGGGGUAAAGGCCCACCAAGGCGACGAUCCGUAGCUGGUCUGAGAGGAUGAUCAGCCACACUGGAACUGAGACACGGUCCAGACUCCUACGGGAGGCAGCAGUGGGGCAUAUUGGACAAUGGGCGCAAGCCUGAUCCAGCCAUACCGCGUGGGUGAAGAAGGCCUUCGGGUUGUAAAGCCCUUUUGUUGGGAAAGAAAAGCAGCAGGUUAAUACCCCGCUGUUCUGACGGUACCCAAAGAAUAAGCACCGGCUAACUUCGUG
Molecule: ribosomal RNA, 492 nt
Filed under: uncultured bacterium
Lineage: Bacteria
Description: partial 16S ribosomal RNA
Rfam family: Bacterial small subunit ribosomal RNA
Source: RNAcentral